AGAACGAACGCUGGCGGCAGGCUUAACACAUGCAAGUCGAACGCCCCGCAAGGGGAGUGGCAGACGGGUGAGUAACGCGUGGGAAUGUACCUUUCGGUUUGGAAUAACCCAGGGAAACUUGGGCUAAUACCAAAUACGCCGGAAACGGGAAAGAUUUAUCGCCGAAGGAUCGGCCCGCGUCGGAUUAGCUAGUUGGUGGGGUAAUGGCCUACCAAGGCAACGAUCCGUAGCUGGUCUGAGAGGAUGAUCAGCCACACUGGGACUGAGACACGGCCCAGACUCCUACGGGAGGCAGCAGUGGGGGAUAUUGGACAAUGGGCGCAAGCCUGAUCCAGCCAUGCCGCGUGAGUGAAGAAGGCCUUAGGGUGUAAAGCUCUUUCAGCGGGGACGAUAAUGACGGUACCCGCAGAAGAAGCCCCGGCUAACUUCGUGCCAGCAGCCGC
This 443-nucleotide ribosomal RNA is filed under the name uncultured soil bacterium. Its description in RNAcentral is "bacterial SSU rRNA". It matches the Rfam family "Bacterial small subunit ribosomal RNA", at positions 26 to 518 of the family's 1533-position model. The record is from RNAcentral.